Molecule: ribosomal RNA, 440 nt
Filed under: uncultured bacterium
Lineage: Bacteria
Description: bacterial SSU rRNA
Rfam family: Bacterial small subunit ribosomal RNA
Source: RNAcentral
CCUACGGGGGGCUGCAGUCAAGAAUCUUCCUCAAUGCGCGAAAGCGUGAAGGAGCGACGCCGCGUGCCGGAUGAAGGCCUUCGGGUCGUAAACGGCUUUUACGAGGGACGAACAAAUGACGGUACCUCGAGAAUAAGUGGUUGCUAACUCUGUGCCAGCAGCAGCGGUAAUACAGAGACCACAAGCGUUAUCCGGAUUUAUUGGGCGUAAAGGGUCCGCAGGCGGCCUGGUAAGUCAUUCGUCAAAUCUUCGGGCUCAACCCGGAGGCUGCGGGUGAUACUGUCAGGCUAGAGACUGGGAGAGGCAUACGGAAUUGCUGGUGUAGCGGUAAAAUGCGUUAAUAUCAGCAAGAACACCAAAGGCGAAGGCAGUAUGCUGGAACAGUUCUGACGCUCAGGGACGAAAGCGUGGGUAGCGAAUGGGAUUAGAUACCCUAGUAG